Molecule: long non-coding RNA, 848 nt
Organism: Brassica napus (rape)
Lineage: Eukaryota; Viridiplantae; Streptophyta; Magnoliopsida; Brassicales; Brassicaceae
Exons: 2
Source: RefSeq, a predicted model, not a curated record
AUAGUUUAGUUUUUUAUUUUCUUUUGCUUUCUUUCCCCAUACGGAGAAAUCAGAGUAAUCUCAGAUUCAAUCCGCUUAGCUUCCUCAAAUUCUCAGAUUUGAUCUCUAGCCACCGUCGAAUGAAGCCUCACCACCACACUCCUUUUGACACCGUCGCUCGUUACCACUACCAGCAGCAGCAGCUCAUCUCUCUCUCCCUGCAUCACGCUGCAAUCUGGUUCAGUUAAAGUCUUUUUGCUUAGACAACAAUCAAGUGAAACAUGUAGAGCAAUUGAAACGUGGUUUUGCAGAUAUCGCUGACGACGUCUACGAGAUUCUCCAUGGAAGGGUAUGGGCCGGUCACAAUAUAUUGAGGGUUUGAUAUACCAAGGAUAAGAGAAGGGUUUGCAGAGAUUGGACGUGAUCCACCAGAGCCAAAAGGCACCAUUGACUCGUUGGUGUUUCUUACUCAAAAGAUUGGGAGGAGAGCUGGUGAUAUGAACUUGGUUUUAUUCUGCAACCUCAAAGAACAAGCUUGUGAUUGUGAUGUUGUGUGUAACAUAACAAUGGUGUAAAUGUAUGUAGAUGGUAUUGCUGCACAUUGAAGACUGUCCUGAUAAAGAGCCUCUUCGCCAUGGGUUCUAUGCAGGCUCCACUAUGGCCACAAGGAUAACAAUACCAAAUUUCAUCACCAAGUUUAUCUGUUAUAUUUUGCAAUGAGUUUAUUAUUUGCAAUUUGGUUUUCGGUGUCCCAAGAAUACUAACUAUGAUAAUGAUACCCAUUUACAGAUUUUAUUUAUUUAUCAGAACAUGUCUAUGUAAGGAAUAUUUAUUUAACUAUGAUAAUUGCCAAAAAUACCAUUUUCAAA